This 446-nucleotide ribosomal RNA is filed under the name uncultured bacterium. RNAcentral's name for it is "partial 16S ribosomal RNA". It matches the Rfam family "Bacterial small subunit ribosomal RNA", at positions 338 to 795 of the family's 1533-position model. The record is from RNAcentral.
CCUACGGGAGGCAGCAGUAGGGAAUUUUCGGCAAUGGGGGGAACCCUGACCGAGCAACGCCGCGUGAACGAAGAAGUUAUUCGUAAUGUAAAGUUCUUUUAACAGGGAAGAAAGAGAAAUUUGACGGUACCUGAAGAAUAAGCUCCGGCUAACAACGUGCCAGCAGCCGCGGUAAUACGUAGGGAGCGAGCGUUACCCGGAAUUAUUGGGCGAAAAGGGUUUGUAGAUGGCAUAGUAAGCCUUUUGUAAAAAUGCUGGGCUCAACCCAGUAGGGCAAAAGAUACUGCAAAGCUAGAGUAUGACAGAGGCAAGUGGAACUACAGGUGUAGCGGUGAAAUGCGUAAAUAUAUGGAAGAACACCAGUGGCGAAGGCGGCUUGCUGGGUCGAUACUGACAUUGAGGCGCGAAAGCGUGGGGAGCAAACAGGAUUAGAUACCCGUGUAGUC